This 1392-nucleotide long non-coding RNA is filed under the name Fukomys damarensis (Damara mole-rat). RNAcentral describes it as "lncRNA (ENSFDAG00000022016.1)". Lineage: Eukaryota; Metazoa; Chordata; Mammalia; Rodentia; Bathyergidae. The record is from RNAcentral.
AUUUGACGCGCAUUGUGAGCUCGGUGCUCGCCCGCUCCCCGCUCCCUGUCAUUAAUUCCAGCCUUGCGUGCUGAAGUACAGUGAAGGAUGACGGCGAAAUCAUUGCCCCUCUUCAGCUCUGUUAUUGCACAAAAUAGCAGCGCAAUAAUUUUUUGUCAAUGUUUUACUCUAAAAGCUUUCUACGUCAGUUUUGAAAAGGAAGCAAUAAAGCCCAUUCAAUGGUAUGAAUAAAAAUCCUCCGAGGCUAGGAGCAGAGCCUCUUUUCUUCAGCUGGUAAUCAAAUUGGAGCUAAAAUGAAAUUGAGUUUUCUUAUGAAAAUAGCCUUUGUUGCUGGGAAGGCUGGUAAUUCAUAAACAAUAACCUGCUCUUUUGUGUGGAUAAUAAUAUAUUCAUGUUCUUUCAAUAGGGUAAAAGCCAGACCUAGUGCAUUGUGGUACAGUAAAGACAGCAGAAGGGCUGGCUGGAGCAACAGUGGGGAGCGGCGUGUGGCACUGAGGACUGUACCCACCGAAAGGGCGCCUGGCUGCAUUUGUGUGCUUCUGCUUCUUGCCGUUCCGAAGUGGCCACGCGAUGCUGGCUUAAUUGUGGACAGUCUCAAGCUGUGCUCAGCACCUCGAAGGCGGCUGUGGCUGCAGGCAGAGCCCAGCCUGUGCCCCAGGACGCACACAUUCACAGGAGCGGCUGGCAUGCAGCAGGAGAACACAGAGGUCGGCGGCCAGGCAGGGCGACGCUGGACACAGAGCUGGGCAGGUGUCUGCCUGUGUCUGUUCUCCUCCCGUGCUGGGUGUCCAGGAGCUGUCUUCUGAUGUCACCGUGUCCUUCUCCCUCCGACAUUGCUGCUAGAACCUGGAGUGGAAGAGAAGGCGCCUGGGGAACCCACAUGACAAUGAGCCCUACCCACUGGGACAGCCGCGUGUGGCCCGUGGGCCUCGCUGUGAUGUGGAGCAGGACCCCUGCUCCCCUGGCCCACUUAUCUCAGUCUUGGCACUGCGUCUGUGCUGUCUCCGCAUGUGAGAACAAGGAACACUCAAGGAUGCACGGAGGGUAUUUCUCUCUGCCCUGAUAGCUCCUUGCUGAGAGAAAAUGGGGGAAAGCUGGGCCCAGCUACAGCCCCCACACCCUGGGCCUCUCUGCAGGGUUGGGCAGGGCGGCUUCCCAAGAAUGCGCUGCUGUGGAUACUGGGCAGGAUGGCUCUGAGGAAGCAGGCACGCGGUGGCACCUGCAGAGGCUGCUGCUCUUCACGGCCCUGAGCACAGAGCCUGUUGACUGGGAGCAGAGUGGAGUAGAUGACUCUCUUCCAGGCUGCAGACCUGAGCCUGGGGCCCCAGAGGAGUCACAGGGCCUAAGGUAAGAAUGUCCCGUGUCACCCCUCUUCCGCACAGGGCCUGCCGC